RNAcentral lists this ribosomal RNA (253 nucleotides) under uncultured bacterium. RNAcentral describes it as "partial 16S ribosomal RNA". It matches the Rfam family "Bacterial small subunit ribosomal RNA", at positions 524 to 776 of the family's 1533-position model. The record is from RNAcentral.
UACAGAGGGGGCAAGCGUUGUUCGGAAUUACUGGGCGUAAAGGGCGCGUAGGCGGCCUGUUAAGUCGAACGUGAAAUCCCCAGGCUCAACCUGGGAACUGCGUCCGAUACUGGCAGGCUUGAAUCCGGGAGAGGGAUGUGGAAUUCCAGGUGUAGCGGUGAAAUGCGUAGAUAUCUGGAGGAAUACCGGUGGCGAAGGCGGCAUCCUGGACCGACAUUGACGCUGAGGAGCGAAAGCUAGGGGAGCAAACGGG